ACUCAAAGGAAUUGACGGGGGCCCGCACAAGCAGCGGAGCGUGUGGUUUAAUUCGAAGCUACGCGAAGAACCUUACCAAGGCUUGACAUCCCUCGCUAUUUGUAGAGAUACAAAGUUCCCUUCGGGGACGAGGAGACAGGUGGUGCAUGGUUGUCGUCAGCUCGUGUCGUGAGAUGUUGGGUUAAGUCCCGCAACGAGCGCAACCCUUGUUCUUAGUUGCCAUCAUUAAGUUGGGCACUCUAAGGAGACUGCCGGUGACAAACCGGAGGAAGGUGGGGAUGACGUCAAAUCAUCAUGCCCCUUAUGUCUUGGGCUACACACGCGCUACAAUGGUCUGUACAAAGGGCAGCGAAGCCGCGAGGCCCAGCGAAUCCCAUAAAACAGAUCUCAGUUCGGAUUGCAGGCUGCAAUUCGCCUGCAUGAAGUCGGAGUUGCUAGUAAUCGCGGAUCAGAACGCCGCGGUGAAUGCGUUCCCGGGCCUUGUACACACCGCCCGU
RNAcentral lists this ribosomal RNA (497 nucleotides) under uncultured bacterium. Its description in RNAcentral is "bacterial SSU rRNA". It matches the Rfam family "Bacterial small subunit ribosomal RNA", at positions 899 to 1397 of the family's 1533-position model. The record is from RNAcentral.